This 759-nucleotide ribosomal RNA is filed under the name uncultured Enterobacteriaceae bacterium. Its description in RNAcentral is "bacterial SSU rRNA". It matches the Rfam family "Bacterial small subunit ribosomal RNA", at positions 28 to 776 of the family's 1533-position model. The record is from RNAcentral. Lineage: Bacteria; Pseudomonadati; Pseudomonadota; Gammaproteobacteria; Enterobacterales; Enterobacteriaceae.
AUUGAACGCUGGCGGCAGGCCUAACACAUGCAAGUCGAGCGGCAGCGGAAAGUAGCUUGUUACUUUGCCGGCGAGCGGCGGACGGGUGAGUAAUGUCUGGGAAACUGCCUGAUGGAGGGGGAUAACUACUGGAAACGGUAGCUAAUACCGCAUGACCUCGAAAGAGCAAAGUGGGGGAUCUUCGGACCUCACGCCAUCGGAUGUGCCCAGAUGGGAUUAGCUAGUAGGUGAGGUAAUGGCUCACCUAGGCGACGAUCCCUAGCUGGUCUGAGAGGAUGACCAGCCACACUGGAACUGAGACACGGUCCAGACUCCUACGGGAGGCAGCAGUGGGGAAUAUUGCACAAUGGGCGCAAGCCUGAUGCAGCCAUGCCGCGUGUGUGAAGAAGGCCUUAGGGUUGUAAAGCACUUUCAGCGAGGAGGAAGGCACCAUACUUAAUACGUGUGGUGAUUGACGUUACUCGCAGAAGAAGCACCGGCUAACUCCGUGCCAGCAGCCGCGGUAAUACGGAGGGUGCAAGCGUUAAUCGGAAUUACUGGGCGUAAAGCGCACGCAGGCGGUUUGUUAAGUCAGAUGUGAAAUCCCCGCGCUUAACGUGGGAACUGCAUUUGAAACUGGCAAGCUAGAGUCUUGUAGAGGGGGGUAGAAUUCCAGGUGUAGCGGUGAAAUGCGUAGAGAUCUGGAGGAAUACCGGUGGCGAAGGCGGCCCCCUGGACAAAGACUGACGCUCAGGUGCGAAAGCGUGGGGAGCAAACAGG